Long non-coding RNA from Colias croceus (clouded yellow), 386 nucleotides. RefSeq lists it as uncharacterized. The transcript is spliced from 2 exons. The record is from RefSeq and is a predicted model, not a curated record. NCBI's taxonomy places the organism in Eukaryota, Metazoa, Arthropoda, Insecta, Lepidoptera, Pieridae.
UUUGUUGUUUUUUUGGUGAAGUUGAGAAUUCUUAAGAUAAAAUUGUAAUUUUGAACAAGAAAUUUACUCAAAAAAGGAGAAAUCAUGAAAAAGGUUAAACGUAGCGGUGUCCGUGAUGCCAUGUAUAAAGUUUUAAUUCGGUGUUUCUCAUAAUUUCAAGCUGAAAAACGAGAAAAAUAUUUGGAAAACGUUUUAAAACGUACAGCAGAUUAUACCGGUGAGAUUCCAUUUGUUUUUGCUCAGUACUACGUAAAAUAGAAUAUUCUAUUAGUGACGAGUGUUUAAUGGGUUUCUGAAAGCACAGUACGCAGGAUAGUGGAGCAAUGGAGUAAAAAUGAGUGAGAAUAUCUACAAAAAAUAAAUAAAAAUAUGUAGUUUUCAAAUCA